This 482-nucleotide ribosomal RNA is filed under the name uncultured bacterium. Its description in RNAcentral is "partial 16S ribosomal RNA". It matches the Rfam family "Bacterial small subunit ribosomal RNA", at positions 28 to 507 of the family's 1533-position model. The record is from RNAcentral.
GAUGAACGCUAGCGGCAGGCCUAAUACAUGCCAGUCGGACGGGAUUCAGGAGCUUGCUUCUGAUGAGAGUGGCGCACGGGUGCGUAACACGUAUGUAACCUACCUUUAUCAGGGGGAUAGCCUCUCGAAAGAGAGAUUAAGCCCGCAUAAAAUCACAGCACAGCAUUGUGUAAUGAUCAAAUAUUUAUAGGAUAAAGAUGGGCAUGCGGAACAUUAGCUAGAUGGCGGGGUAACGGCCCACCAUGGCGACGAUGUUUAGGGGAUCUGAGAGGAUGGCCCCCCACACUGGUACUGAGACACGGACCAGACUCCUACGGGAGGCAGCAGUAAGGAAGAUUGGUCAAUGGGCGGAAGCCUGAACCAGCCAUGCCGCGUGCAGGAAGACGGCCCUACGGGUUGUAAACUGCUUUUAGACGGGAAUAAACCCAGAUACGUGUAUCUGGCUGAAUGUACUGUAAGAAUAAGGAUCGGCUAACUCCGUG